UACGGGGGGGGCAAGCGUUGUCCGGAUUUACUGGGCGUAAAGAGCGUGUAGGCGGCCAGGUAGGUCGGCUGUGAAAACUCGAGGCUCAACCUCGAGCUGUCGGCCGAAACCAUCUGGCUAGAGUCCGGAAGAGGAGAAUGGAAUUCCCGGUGUAGCGGUGAAAUGCGCAGAUAUCGGGAAGAACACCCGUGGCGAAGGCGGUUCUCUGGGACGGUACUGACGCUGAGACGCGAAAGCGUGGGGAGCGAACAGG
Molecule: ribosomal RNA, 253 nt
Filed under: uncultured bacterium
Lineage: Bacteria
Description: partial 16S ribosomal RNA
Rfam family: Bacterial small subunit ribosomal RNA
Source: RNAcentral